AGUGAACGCUGGCGGUAGGCCUAACACAUGCAAGUCGAACGGCAGCACAGUAAGAGCUUGCUCUUACGGGUGGCGAGUGGCGGACGGGUGAGGAAUACAUCGGAAUCUACUUUUUCGUGGGGGAUAACGUAGGGAAACUUACGCUAAUACCGCAUACGACCUACGGGUGAAAGCAGGGGAUCUUCGGACCUUGCGCGAUUGAAUGAGCCGAUGUCGGAUUAGCUAGUUGGCGGGGGAAAGGCCCACCAAGGCGACGAUCCGUAGCUGGUCUGAGAGGAUGGUCGGCCGCCCUGGAACGUGGACACGGUCCAGACUCCUACGGGAGGCAGCAGUGGGGAAUAUUGGACAAUGGGCGCAAGCCUGAUCCAGCCAUACCGCGUGGGUGAAGAAGGCCUUCGGGUUGUAAAGCCCUUUUGUUGGGAAAGAAAAGCAGCAGGUUAAUACCCCGCUGUUCUGACGGUACCCAAAGAAUAAGCACCGGCUAACUUCGUG
RNAcentral lists this ribosomal RNA (492 nucleotides) under uncultured bacterium. RNAcentral describes it as "partial 16S ribosomal RNA". It matches the Rfam family "Bacterial small subunit ribosomal RNA", at positions 29 to 507 of the family's 1533-position model. The record is from RNAcentral.